UUUGCAGCUUUUCCUCGCAUUGUUGUUGCGGUCGUGUGUGCGCAAUAUGCGAAACAAGUUCGUUGCCCAAGUCAUUCGUUUGAUUUUGAGUUUUGUUCUGUCAGAUGCCUUGCGCAAUGCGGUCCGAUGGUAGCGAGUUCACAAGUCAGCAGUGAGUGCAGAACCGGCCACUACGCUUUGUGGUGAAAAAAACCGCAGAAAAGAGGGAGUCGAUGGAAAAAAAAAACAAUACCAACUGCAGUAAUUGAACAAACCGGUGACCUUGACCAACGUCGAAUGGAAUUCACUGGAAAUCAAACUGCAAUCAAUACACAAAAGAGUUCAGCAGCGUGGUAAAAAAUGUUAGAAAAAGCGUAAUUGAUUAAUAAAAUCUCGGGGGCACAAUAUGCUUGUCAUACACAUUUCAUUUAAAAUCUGAUAAUAUAGUAAAGAAAA
This is a long non-coding RNA of Drosophila sechellia, 435 nucleotides long. RefSeq lists it as uncharacterized. Lineage: Eukaryota; Metazoa; Arthropoda; Insecta; Diptera; Drosophilidae. The transcript has 2 exons. The record is from RefSeq and is a predicted model, not a curated record.